Molecule: ribosomal RNA, 562 nt
Filed under: Trichophyton rubrum
Lineage: Eukaryota; Fungi; Ascomycota; Eurotiomycetes; Onygenales; Arthrodermataceae
Description: partial large subunit ribosomal RNA
Rfam family: Eukaryotic large subunit ribosomal RNA
Source: RNAcentral
AAACCAACAGGGAUUGCCCCAGUAACGGCGAGUGAGCGGCAGAGCUCAAAUUUGAAAUCUGGCCUCCCCCGGGGGUCCGAGUUGUAAUUUGCAGAGGAUGCUUCGGGCGCGGCCCCCGUCUAAGUUCCUUGGAACAGGACGUCAGAGAGGGUGAGAAUCCCGUCUUGGGCGGGCGGCCCGCGCCCGUGUGAAGCUCCUUCGACGAGUCGAGUUGUUUGGGAAUGCAGCUCUGAGCGGGUGGUAAAUUUCAUCUAAAGCUAAAUACCGGCCGGAGACCGAUAGCGCACAAGUAGAGUGAUCGAAAGGUUAAAAGCACCUUGAAAAGGGAGUUAAACAGCACGUGAAAUUGUUGAAAGGGAAGCGCUUGCGGCCAGACUCGGGGGGCGGGGUUCAGCGGGCGCUCGUCGCCCGUGCACUGCCCGCUCCCCGGGCCAGCAUCAGCUUCGACGGCCGGUCAAAGGCCCCCGGAAUGUGUCGUCUCUAGGGACGUCUUAUAGCCGGGGGUGCAAUGCGGCCCGUCGAGACUGAGGAACGCGCUCCGGCUCGGAUGCUGGCGUAAUGG